Molecule: ribosomal RNA, 486 nt
Filed under: uncultured Pseudomonadota bacterium
Lineage: Bacteria; Pseudomonadati; Pseudomonadota
Description: bacterial SSU rRNA
Rfam family: Bacterial small subunit ribosomal RNA
Source: RNAcentral
UGGGGAAUAUUGGACAAUGGGCGAAAGCCUGAUCCAGCAAUGCCGCGUGAGUGAUGAAGGCCUUAGGGUUGUAAAGCUCUUUUACCCGGGAUGAUAAUGACAGUACCGGGAGAAUAAGCUCCGGCUAACUCCGUGCCAGCAGCCGCGGUAAUACGGAGGGAGCUAGCGUUAUUCGGAAUUACUGGGCGUAAAGCGCACGUAGGCGGCUUUGUAAGUUAGAGGUGAAAGCCUGGAGCUCAACUCCAGAAUUGCCUUUAAGACUGCAUCGCUUGAAUCCAGGAGAGGUGAGUGGAAUUCCGAGUGUAGAGGUGAAAUUCGUAGAUAUUCGGAAGAACACCAGUGGCGAAGGCGGCUCACUGGACUGGUAUUGACGCUGAGGCGCGAAAGCGUGGGGAGCAAACAGGAUUAGAUACCCUGGUAGUCCACGCCGUAAACGAUGAUAACUAGCUGUCGGGGCUCUUAGAGCUUCGGUGGCGCAGCUAACGC